AUUGAACGCUGGCGGCACGCCUUACACAUGCAAGUCGAACGGCAGCACGGGAGCAAUCCUGGUGGCGAGUGGCGAACGGGUGAGUAAAGUAUCGGGACGUGCCCAGUCGUGGGGGAUAACGUAGCGAAAGUUACGCUAAUACCGCAUACGAUCUAUGGAUGAAAGCGGGGGAUCGCAAGACCUCGCGCGAUUGGAGCUGCCGAUAUCAGAUUAGGUAGUUGGGGGGGUAAAGGCUCACCAAGCCGACGAUCUGUAGCUGGUCUGAGAGGACGACCAGCCACACUGGGACUGAGACACGGCCCAGACUCCUACGGGAGGCAGCAGUGGGGAAUUUUGGACAAUGGGCGAAAGCCUGAUCCAGCCAUGCCGCGUGCAGGAUGAAGGCCUUCGGGUUGUAAACUGCUUUUGUACGGAACGAAAAGGUUUGGCCUAAUAAGCUGAGCUCAUGACGGUACCGUAAGAAUAAGCACCGGCUAACUACGUGCCAGCAGCAGCCGCAG
RNAcentral lists this ribosomal RNA (500 nucleotides) under uncultured bacterium. Its description in RNAcentral is "partial 16S ribosomal RNA". It matches the Rfam family "Bacterial small subunit ribosomal RNA", at positions 30 to 523 of the family's 1533-position model. The record is from RNAcentral.